Molecule: ribosomal RNA, 506 nt
Filed under: uncultured bacterium
Lineage: Bacteria
Description: partial 16S ribosomal RNA
Rfam family: Bacterial small subunit ribosomal RNA
Source: RNAcentral
AGUGAACGCUGGCGGUAGGCCUAACACAUGCAAGUCGAACGGCAGCACAGGAGAGCUUGCUCUCUGGGUGGCGAGUGGCGGACGGGUGAGGAAUACAUCGGAAUCUACUUUUUCGUGGGGGAUAACGUAGGGAAACUUACGCUAAUACCGCAUACGACCUACGGGUGAAAGCAGGGGAUCUUCGGACCUUGCGCGAUUGAAUGAGCCGAUGUCGGAUUAGCUAGUUGGCGGGGUAAAGGCCCACCAAGGCGACGAUCCGUAGCUGGUCUGAGAGGAUGAGCGGCCACACUGGAACUGAGACACGGUCCAGACUCCUACGGGAGGCAGCAGUGGGGAAUAUUGGACAAUGGGCGCAAGCCUGAUCCAGCCAUACCGCGUGGGUGAAGAAGGCCUUCGGGUUGUAAAGCCCUUUUGUUGGGAAAGAAAUCCAGCUGGUUAAUACCCGGUUGGGAUGACGGUACCCAAAGAAUAAGCACCGGCUAACUUCGUGCCAGCAGCCGCAGUAA